CCCAGACUCCUACGGGAGGCAGCAGUGGGGGAUAUUGCACAAUGGGGGAAACCCUGAUGCAGCGACGCCGCGUGGGUGAAGAAGCGCCUCGGCGCGUAAAGCCCUGUCAGCAGGGAAGAAAAUGACGGUACCUGAAGAAGAAGCCCCGGCUAACUACGUGCCAGCAGCCGCGGUAAUACGUAGGGGGCAAGCGUUAUCCGGAUUUACUGGGUGUAAAGGGGGCGCAGACGGCGAUGCAAGCCAGGAGUGAAAGCCCGGGGCCCAACCGCGGGACUGCAUUGGGAACUACCGGGCUGGAGUGCCGGAGAGGUAGGCGGAAUUCCUAGUGUAGCGGUGAAAUGCGUAGAUAUUAGGAGGAACACCAGUGGCGAAGGCGGCCUACUGGACGGUGACUGACGCUGAGGCUCGAAAGCGUGGGGAGCAAACAGGAUUAGAUACCCCAGUA
This 445-nucleotide ribosomal RNA is filed under the name uncultured bacterium. RNAcentral describes it as "bacterial SSU rRNA". It matches the Rfam family "Bacterial small subunit ribosomal RNA", at positions 330 to 792 of the family's 1533-position model. The record is from RNAcentral.